AUUGAACGCUGGCGGCAGGCUUAACACAUGCAAGUCGAGCGGGGGAAGGUAGCUUGCUACCGGACCUAGCGGCGGACGGGUGAGUAAUGCUUAGGAAUCUGCCUAUUAGUGGGGGACAACAUCUCGAAAGGGAUGCUAAUACCGCAUACGUCCUACGGGAGAAAGCAGGGGAUCUUCGGACCUUGCGCUAAUAGAUGAGCCUAAGUCGGAUUAGCUAGUUGGUGGGGUAAAGGCCUACCAAGGCGACGAUCUGUAGCGGGUCUGAGAGGAUGUUCGGCAACACUGGGACUGAGACACGGCCCAGACUCCUACGGGAGGCAGCAGUGGGGAAUAUUGGACAAUGGGGGGAACCCUGAUCCAGCCAUGCCGCGUGUGUGAAGAAGGCCUUAUGGUUGUAAAGCACUUUAAGCGAGGAGGAGGCUACUGAGACUAAUACUCUCGGAUAGUGGACGUUACUCGCAGAAUAAGCACCGGCUAACUCUGUGCCAGCCGCCGCCGUAA
This 501-nucleotide ribosomal RNA is filed under the name uncultured bacterium. RNAcentral's name for it is "partial 16S ribosomal RNA". It matches the Rfam family "Bacterial small subunit ribosomal RNA", at positions 30 to 523 of the family's 1533-position model. The record is from RNAcentral.